Molecule: ribosomal RNA, 468 nt
Filed under: uncultured bacterium
Lineage: Bacteria
Description: partial 16S ribosomal RNA
Rfam family: Bacterial small subunit ribosomal RNA
Source: RNAcentral
GACGAACGCUGGCGGCGUGCUUAACACAUGCAAGUCGAACGGAAAGGCCCUGCUUUUGUGGGGUGCUCGAGUGGCGAACGGGUGAGUAACACGUGAGUAACCUGCCCUUGACUUUGGGAUAACUUCAGGAAACUGGGGCUAAUACCGGAUAGGAGCUCCUGCUGCAUGGUGGGGGUUGGAAAGUUUCGGCGGUUGGGGAUGGACUCGCGGCUUAUCAGCUUGUUGGUGGGGUAGUGGCUUACCAAGGCUUUGACGGGUAGCCGGCCUGAGAGGGUGACCGGCCACAUUGGGACUGAGAUACGGCCCAGACUCCUACGGGAGGCAGCAGUGGGGAAUAUUGCACAAUGGGCGGAAGCCAGAUACAGCAACGCCGCGUGCGGGAUGACGGCCUUCGGGUUGUAAACCGCUUUCGCCUGUGACGAAGCGUGAGUGACGGUAAUGGGUAAAGAAGCACCGGCUAACUACGUG